AGCAGCCGCGGUAAUUCCAGCUCCAAUAGCGUAUAUUAAAGUUGUUGCAGUUAAAAAGCUCGUAGUUGAAUUUCGGGAUCAGUAGGUCGGUCGUGCCACUGGUAUGAACUGGUCUCACUGGUUCCUCCCUCUUGACGAACUGCAAUGCUAUUAAUUUAGUGUAGUAGGAAAUCAGGACUGUUACUUUGAAAAAAUUAGAGUGUUUAAAGCAGGCUUUGGCUUGAAUACAUUAGCAUGGAAUAAUGAAAUAGGACGUUCGAUCCUAUUUUGUUGGUUUCUAGGAUUGACGUAAUGAUUAAUAGGGACAGUUGGGGGCAUUAGUAUUCAAUUGUCAGAGGUGAAAUUCUUGGAUUUAUUGAAGACUAACUACUGCGAAAGCAUUUGCCAAGGAUGUUUUCAUUAAUCAAGAACGAAAGUUAGGGGAUCGAAGACGAUCAGAUACCGUCGUAGUCUUAACCAUAAACUAUGCCGACUAGGGAUCGGAUGAUGUUAAUUUUUAAUGA
RNAcentral lists this ribosomal RNA (503 nucleotides) under uncultured Glomus. RNAcentral's name for it is "SSU rRNA". It matches the Rfam family "Eukaryotic small subunit ribosomal RNA", at positions 569 to 1074 of the family's 1831-position model. Lineage: Eukaryota; Fungi; Glomeromycota; Glomeromycetes; Glomerales; Glomeraceae. The record is from RNAcentral.